RNAcentral lists this ribosomal RNA (670 nucleotides) under Bacillus cereus. RNAcentral's name for it is "bacterial SSU rRNA". It matches the Rfam family "Bacterial small subunit ribosomal RNA", at positions 29 to 691 of the family's 1533-position model. The record is from RNAcentral. Lineage: Bacteria; Bacillati; Bacillota; Bacilli; Caryophanales; Bacillaceae.
GUCAAUUGACGGGUGCUAUAAUGCAGUCGAGCGAUGGAUUAAGAGCUUGCUCUUAUGAAGUUAGCGGCGGACGGGUGAGUAACACGUGGGUAACCUGCCCAUAAGACUGGGAUAACUCCGGGAAACCGGGGCUAAUACCGGAUAACAUUUUGAACCGCAUGGUUCGAAAUUGAAAGGCGGCUUCGGCUGUCACUUAUGGAUGGACCCGCGUCGCAUUAGCUAGUUGGUGAGGUAACGGCUCACCAAGGCAACGAUGCGUAGCCGACCUGAGAGGGUGAUCGGCCACACUGGGACUGAGACACGGCCCAGACUCCUACGGGAGGCAGCAGUAGGGAAUCUUCCGCAAUGGACGAAAGUCUGACGGAGCAACGCCGCGUGAGUGAUGAAGGCUUUCGGGUCGUAAAACUCUGUUGUUAGGGGAAGAACAAGUGCUAGUUGAAUAAGCUGGCACCUUGACGGGUACCUAACCAGAAAGCCACGGGCUACUACGUGGCCAGCAGCCGCGGUAAUACGUAGUGGCAAGCGUUAUCCGGAAUUAAUGGGCGUAAGCGCCGCAGGGCCUUCUAAAGUCUGAGUGAAAGCCCACGCUCAACCUCGGAGGUCAUGGGAAACUGGGGAAACUUUGUGCCAAAAAAGGAAAGGAGAAUCCUACUGGUGUAGCGCAAAUCGG